UACGAAGGGUGCAAGCGUUAGUCGGAAUUACUGGGCGUAAAGCGUGCGUAGGCGGUUUCUUAAGUCGGAUGUGAAAGCCCUGGGCUCAACCUGGGAAUGGCACUCGAUACUGGGAAGCUUGAGUGCGGUAGAGGAGGGUGGAAUUCCCGGUGUAGCGGUGAAAUGCGCAGAUAUCGGGAGGAACACCUAUGGCGAAGGCAGCUCGCUGGGACGUUACUGACGCUGAGACGCGAAAGCGUGGGGAGCAAACAGG
This 253-nucleotide ribosomal RNA is filed under the name uncultured bacterium. Its description in RNAcentral is "partial 16S ribosomal RNA". It matches the Rfam family "Bacterial small subunit ribosomal RNA", at positions 524 to 776 of the family's 1533-position model. The record is from RNAcentral.